AUUGAACGCUGGCGGCAGGCCUAACACAUGCAAGUCGAACGGUAACAGGAGGAAGCUUGCUUCUUUGCUGACGAGUGGCGGACGGGUGAGUAAUGUCUGUGAAACUGCCUGAUGGAGGGGGAUAACUACUGGAAACGGUAGCUAAUACCGCAUAACGUCGCAAGACCAAAGAGGGGGACCUUCGGGCCUCUUGCCAUCGGAUGUGCCCAGAUGGGAUUAGCUAGUAGGUGGGGUAACGGCUCACCUAGGCGACGAUCCCUAGCUGGUCUGAGAGGAUGACCAGCCACACUGGAACUGAGACACGGUCCAGACUCCUACGGGAGGCAGCAGUGGGGAAUAUUGCACAAUGGGCGCAAGCCUGAUGCAGCCAUGCCGCGUGUAUGAAGAAGGCCUUCGGGUUGUAAAGUACUUUCAGCGGGGAGGAAGGGAGUAAAGUUAAUACCUUUGCUCAUUGACGUUACCCGCAGAAGAAGCACCGGCUAACUCCGUG
This 490-nucleotide ribosomal RNA is filed under the name uncultured bacterium. RNAcentral's name for it is "partial 16S ribosomal RNA". It matches the Rfam family "Bacterial small subunit ribosomal RNA", at positions 30 to 507 of the family's 1533-position model. The record is from RNAcentral.